Molecule: long non-coding RNA, 1177 nt
Organism: Musa acuminata AAA Group (dessert banana)
Lineage: Eukaryota; Viridiplantae; Streptophyta; Magnoliopsida; Zingiberales; Musaceae
Exons: 2
Source: RefSeq, a predicted model, not a curated record
AAGGAAAUCGCCAUGACGAACUGCAUGGAUUCUAGUAUUUGGCAUGGUCCCCUUGGGUUCAGAUGGUCACAUGUAACCCACAGGAAGUGAGAGGUGGAGGUGAUGAGGAAUGCAAACUCUUUGCAGGUCUCUCUGCAUUAAAAACCACUCUCACUUUUCAUCACCUAUCUUUAGUAUAAAUAGAGAAGUAGGAUGAAUGUUUCCAAAGGAGAAAAUAAUCUGCUUUCUUCAUUCUUUUCUCUUUUUCUUGAAUUCCUGAUCUAAACUUUCCCUUGUUUAUUUUGUUUCUGAGGGAGUUGUCUGCACAUAGGAAGAGAGAGUAAGUCCCGAAGCUUGUGAUAUGAGACAAUGAAGUGGUUUCUUCCUCACAUAAGGCACUGUAAAUGGUCUAGAAAUGGAUAGGGCGGCUGCAUGCACCAAAUGAUCACCUGUAGGUCAUGGCUAUCUACAUCACGAAAGCUGUGAGGACGAGCCAUCCAAUCCUUCUCCUAGACUCAUAUGAUGUACCAUCAGUUCAUCCUCGUGAUGAUUUAGCUGCUACCUUGAAUGCCUAUUGCUAGAAGGUGAUCCACACAAAGGAAAAGCUUAGACCGAAUUCCUUUUAUCACGGCUUGGCAUGAAAAAACUGAUCGAAACUAUAUCAUAGAUUCUCUGCAUGCAUUGCUUAUCAAGAUUACUUCUUGUGAUAUAAACAGUUCUCACAAAGGGAUAUCGGUGUCAAGUUUCAUCACCGAAAUAUAUAUUUUGUCCGUGAGAGAAGAAACUUGUCACGAGUUAAACUCCUCAAACACACGGACACACACAAUGCCAUAGAGUGUCAGGUCAACACACUCCACCAUGCUCACAAGGAAGGAAGAAAACAAGGCAUGGUAGAAGAAAGCAAUGAUAAGCUCCAUGAUUGUUCCAGCCACAAGCCAGAAUGAGUGCUCCACCACCUAACGCUGCCAGAACAAAUCAUUGUCCUCGUGAAUCUAAGCUUGUGGAAUCGACAGUUCGGCCUUCUUGGCUUAUACUGCGUCAUAUAUUUCAGCCUCUGCUCAAUGAAUAGGAACACAAGCCAGUUGUGUUGCAUCUGUACAUGCGAGAUAUACUCCCAAGUGUAGAACUCAAGUUUCAAUCUUUUCUUUUAGGUUCUGUUGUUUGAUGUAUAAACAUAAACUUGGUUCAACCAAUGGUA